Small nuclear RNA from Meriones unguiculatus (Mongolian gerbil), 103 nucleotides. The record is from Ensembl. Lineage: Eukaryota; Metazoa; Chordata; Mammalia; Rodentia; Muridae.
UUGCUUUGGCAGUAGAUAUACUAAAAUGGAAACAAUAUAAAGAGAAUUGACAAGGCCCCUGUGAAAAAAUGCUAUACAAAUUUGUGAAGUAUUCCAUAUUUGU